GUCUUUUUGAUAAAUAAUUUAAAGUCUAAUCUGCCCCCUGAAAUUAUUUUAAAGGGCUGCGGUAUUUUAACCGUACAAAGGUAGCAUAAUAAUUAGGUUUUUUAUUGAAAUCUAGAAUGAAUGAUUGGACGAGAUACAAGCUGUUUUAAAAUAAUUAAUUAAAAUUUAAUUUUUUAGUUAAAAAGCUAAAAUUCUAUUAAAAGACGAGAAGACCCURUAAAUCUUUAUAACAAAAUUAUUUUAAUAAAUUUUUUUAUUAAAAUUAAUAAUUUAAUAAUUAGUUAUUUUAUUGGGGUGAUAUAAAAAUUUAAUAAACUUUUUUUAAUUUAAUUACUUAAAUUAAAGUUUUAAAUGUUAUGAUCUAUUAUUAAUAAUUCAAAGAAUAAGAUACUUUAGGGAUAACAGCGUAAUUUUAAUUUUAAGUUCUCAUUAAAAUUAAAGAUUGC
This 446-nucleotide ribosomal RNA is filed under the name Hesperophylax occidentalis. RNAcentral describes it as "partial 16S ribosomal RNA". The record is from RNAcentral. Lineage: Eukaryota; Metazoa; Arthropoda; Insecta; Trichoptera; Limnephilidae.